Molecule: ribosomal RNA, 468 nt
Filed under: uncultured bacterium
Lineage: Bacteria
Description: partial 16S ribosomal RNA
Rfam family: Bacterial small subunit ribosomal RNA
Source: RNAcentral
GACGAACGCUGGCGGCGUGCUUAACACAUGCAAGUCGAACGGUGACGGCAGAGCUUGCUCUGCCUGAUCAGUGGCGAACGGGUGAGUAACACGUGAGUAACCUGCCCCUCACUUCGGGAUAACCUCAGGAAAUCGUGGCUAAUACCGGAUAUGAGACCUGACUGCUGGGUCGGGUCUGGAAAGAUUUAUCGGUGGGGGAUGGACUAGCGGCCAAUCAGAUUGUUGGUGAGGUAGCGGCACAGCAAGGCCACGAGGGGUAGCCGGCCUGGGAGGGGGACCGGCCAAACUGGGCCUGGGAUGCGGCCCAGACUCCAACGGGAGGCAGCGGUGGGGAAUAUUGCACAGUGGGCGAAAGCCUGAUCCAGCGACGCCGCGUGGGGGAUGAAGGCAUUCGGGUUGUAAACCUCUUCCCGCAGGGAAGAAGCGAAAGUGACGGUACCUGCAGAAGAAGCGCCGGCUAACUACGUG